Molecule: ribosomal RNA, 370 nt
Filed under: Esox masquinongy (muskellunge)
Lineage: Eukaryota; Metazoa; Chordata; Actinopteri; Esociformes; Esocidae
Description: partial 16S ribosomal RNA
Rfam family: Bacterial large subunit ribosomal RNA
Source: RNAcentral
GGUAGCGCAAUCACUUGUCUUUUAAAUGAAGACCUGUAUGAAUGGCAUCACGAGGGCUUAGCUGUCUCCUCUUUCAAGUCAAUGAAAUUGAUCUGCCCGUGCAGAAGCGGACAUAAGAACAUAAGACGAGAAGACCCUAUGGAGCUUUAGACACCCGGCAGACCAUGUCAAGUAACCCUGUUAUUGGAUUAAAACAGAACGGCUCCUGGCCCACAUGUCUUCGGUUGGGGCGACCACGGGGGAAAAUAUAGCCCCCAUGCGGACUAAGGGUAACACCCUUAUAACCAUGAACUACAGCUCUAAGUCUCAGAAAUUCUGACCAAAAAGAUCCGACACCCGUCGAUCAACGGACCAAGUUACCCUAGGGAUA